This is a long non-coding RNA of Alosa sapidissima (American shad), 2528 nucleotides long. RefSeq lists it as uncharacterized. The record is from RefSeq and is a predicted model, not a curated record. The transcript has 3 exons. Lineage: Eukaryota; Metazoa; Chordata; Actinopteri; Clupeiformes; Clupeidae.
AUUUGAUAGACAUCCGUGGCACCCAAUAAACGGAUCUGGGCAUUUUUUUCAAAUACGAGAAAAUGAACGUUUGGUUCCCAGACCACGUCUCAUUGAGAAGUGGUGGCGCUAGCCAGGCUAGUAUAAAGUGCUAAUGAUGUACCGUGUUUCAUUCAUACAUAAAUACACUUACUUGGUUACAUUUUUCAUUCUCCCUCAUUUUCAUUCUUGUCCCUGAGGCAAAAAGAAAAUGAUUGAAAAAUGAUUUUGACUUUAUUUAUUUAUCUAUGGUACAACAUUGGUACUUUGUACUAAUGCCCAUACACUGAGCUACUUUCACAUAUUUUCAAGUGCCUACCCCACAUAUAAUUUUAAUUCUAUGAAAAUGACGAAAAACACAACCUUCCCCUUCUUAAAAUCCAUUAUAUGUAGACAACUCAAUUAUUGCUACAACAUUAUGAAAGCAUAGUAUGAAAAUAAAAAAAUAAUGAUUGAUACCAAAUGCAUACAAAAACAAGUUUAUACUACCCUUAAGGUCACUGGUUUUGCACUUUUUUUCCCAAAUCUAUAGCCUUGUAGAAAAUCAAAGAGAAUGUCUUACACACUUUUAAUGAUUCAGUCAUACUGAAAACAUUUCAGUUUUGGUGUCUUCCACCCUAAAAAAGUUUAGGCUGCCUACAAGGGCGUAGGUUUGGUCUACCAUUUCAGUCAAAAAGUGUUUCACACAUCUCAAAUAUUGGUUAAUUGUCAUAGUUACCUGAAAAAAUACACUUGUUGAAUGAUUUCAAUGCAACUUUACUAAAAAUGUCUGGUUUGCUGAUUUAAGAGACACAUUCAAAAAUGAUGAAAGAAACCAUGAGGCCAGUAAUCGCGCUGUUCUUCGCACUGAUGGUGAUGAGUGCACUAGUGUGCAAUGUCUACGCUGGAUGUGAGAAUGGGAGGUGUUAUCGGAAAUGCACUAACGAUGAAUAUAUAGGCCAUCGUUUAUACUGUGGUGGUGGAAAUGUAUGCUGUGUUUAAAAAGGAGAUUUAAAAAAGGAUUUGGGCCACUGCGAUCGCUGAACCGUGGUGAAAAACAUUAACCUUUUAAGAUGGACUUUGUGGAUCAAGCAAUGUGCACAAUUGUUGACAAUAUUUUUUAUAAUUUUUUUAUAAAUGCAUUUAUUUAACAUACACAAGCUGUAAUGGGCCUUCCCAUAACAAAUGAAGACUGGAACCAAAUCAAAGCACUGUGGUGACUGCAACUCUGAUAUUUUGAAAAAUGUGACCACUUUUAAACAGAGGCAGAUACAAACUGCUAGACUAACACUCUGACAAUAACAAGGGGAAACCGUGGUCGAGGUGCUACACCAACAGCCAACUGCAUGGCCCUUUAAUACACAAGAUAGAAAACAGUAGCCAAGGAAACCGCCAACAGGAGUAGAGUAUUAAACAUAUCAAGUAUUCCCAUGGUGUACAGUCACGACUCGAUAAAAAACGUUUACUGAAAUGGUGCUGAUUAUUGCUGGGAGUCAGUCGUUUGAGCAGCAAUGGGCAACUUGUGUACCAAACAAUUAGAGCACCCCUUUGUUGUUUUACAAAUCCAGUAAAAUGCAAGAGGAGGUGAAGAUACACACAUAUCAACCUAAAACCGCACCUAUCAUUCGGUUAGUGAGUCAAUUAUUAGUAUAAGCCAAGCCGAUCAUACUCUGAGUAAUAUUAUUUUGCUGGGUGUUGAGGUGGAAGAACUCUGGACAUCAUUGGCCAGUAAGCAUUACCACUCACAAGCCAAGGUUCCGCAGCAGCUUUUGUUCCAGCCACGGUCCGACUGCUUGCCCCGGACGUUAGGGAGGAAAGAAGAUACCACACCCUCAAUUACAUUCAUAACAUGGAUAUUUAACACUCCACUACGCUCAGGCUCUGGGUCUAUCAAGGAGCUGGGCUAGAGUGCAGUAGUCUGAAAGUUGUGGGUUCAAUUCCUGGCUUCCACCGUUGUGCCCUUGAGAAAGGCACUUAAAGCCAAGUUGCUCCGGGGACAAUGUAAUCCCUUGUCAUAUAGUUGACAUAUAUAAGCCACUUUGGACAACAGUGUCUGCUAAAGGUAAUGGUAGAAAACAGCAGAUAGCAUGUUUAUACAUGUAGUUCAUGUCAGGCAACAUGCUUUAGCCAAAAGGAAACAGAGUGACUCACAACGGCGUCAUGGUUUCUCUUUGGUGUAGAUCCUAUCCAGUAAGGAUUAAGGGACAUUUCUGACUAUGGUCCUGUUGUAAGCCUAAUUGGGUCAUUCCGUGUCAAAUCAGACAAGGUUGUUGCUGAACCAUCUCAGAUUUUGUUUAAACCUGAUCUAUAUCAAGAAUGGGUCCCAAAACUAAUGCAAGGCCUGUACAAUAUUUCUGUUCAAAUCCUUUGUCUUAGUAGUAGUAGUAACUUGAAAAUCUAUGUGAAAGUAGCUCAGUGUAUGGGUAUUUAGUGUAGAAAGUGCCAAUAUAAAUAAAUUGAGUCAAAAUCAUUGUUUUGCCUCAGGGUCAAAAAUGAAAACCCAUAGGUAUAUGCAAUGUAACCAAGUAAGU